This 297-nucleotide ribosomal RNA is filed under the name uncultured bacterium. Its description in RNAcentral is "partial 16S ribosomal RNA". It matches the Rfam family "Bacterial small subunit ribosomal RNA", at positions 334 to 626 of the family's 1533-position model. The record is from RNAcentral.
UUGUGCCUACGGGACGCAGCAGUGAGGAAUAUUGGUCAAUGGGCGCAAGCCUGAACCAGCCACGUCGCGUGAGGGAAGACGGCCCUACGGGUUGUAAACCUCUUUUGCCGGGGAGCAAGCCUGAGCACGUGUGCCCAGGCGGAGAGUACCCGGAGAAAAAGCUCCGGCUAACUACGUGCCAGCAGCCGCGGUAAUACGUAGGGAGCGAGCGUUGUCCGGAAUUACUGGGUGUAAAGGGAGCGUAGGCGGGACGGCAAGUCAGAUGUGCAAACUGCGGGCUCAACUUUCAGACUGCAU